CCUGAGAGUCGAAGGGCCAGCUCCUGCUGAACUCCCCCAGGGUAGAAAUACAGCAAGGGUAGGUGGUUGAGCGGUUAGCUUUGGCUCUCUUUUUC
This 95-nucleotide signal recognition particle RNA is filed under the name Saprospiraceae bacterium. RNAcentral describes it as "signal recognition particle sRNA small type". It matches the Rfam family "Bacterial small signal recognition particle RNA". From Rfam's summary of the family: The signal recognition particle (SRP) is a universally conserved ribonucleoprotein involved in the co-translational targeting of proteins to membranes. Lineage: Bacteria; Pseudomonadati; Bacteroidota; Saprospiria; Saprospirales; Saprospiraceae. The record is from RNAcentral.